Molecule: ribosomal RNA, 1343 nt
Filed under: uncultured bacterium
Lineage: Bacteria
Description: 16S ribosomal RNA
Rfam family: Bacterial small subunit ribosomal RNA
Source: RNAcentral
GACGAACGCUGGCGGCGUGCUUAACACAUGCAAGUCGAACGGAAAGGCCCUGCUUUUGUGGGGUGCUCGAGUGGCGAACGGGUGAGUAACACGUGAGUAACCUGCCCUUGACUUUGGGAUAACUUCAGGAAACUGGGGCUAAUACCGGAUAGGAGCUCCUGCUGCAUGGUGGGGGUUGGAAAGUUUCGGCGGUUGGGGAUGGACUCGCGGCUUAUCAGCUUGUUGGUGGGGUAGUGGCUUACCAAGGCUUUGACGGGUAGCCGGCCUGAGAGGGUGACCGGCCACAUUGGGACUGAGAUACGGCCCAGACUCCUACGGGAGGCAGCAGUGGGGAAUAUUGCACAAUGGGCGGAAGCCUGAUGCAGCAACGCCGCGUGCGGGAUGACGGCCUUCGGGUUGUAAACCGCUUUCGCCUGUGACGAAGAGUGAGUGACGGUAAUGGGUAAAGAAGCACCGGCUAACUACGUGCCAGCAGCCGCGGUGAUACGUAGGGUGCGAGCGUUGUCCGGAUUUAUUGGGCGUAAAGGGCUCGUAGGUGGUUGAUCGCGUCGGAAGUGUAAUCUUGGGGCUUAACCCUGAGCGUGCUUUCGAUACGGGUUGACUUGAGGAAGGUAGGGGAGAAUGGAAUUCCUGGUGGAGCGGUGGAAUGCGCAGAUAUCAGGAGGAACACCAGUGGCGAAGGCGGUUCUCUGGGCCUUUCCUGACGCUGAGGAGCGAAAGCGUGGGGAGCGAACAGGCUUAGAUACCCUGGUAGUCCACGCUGUAAACGGUGGGUACUAGGUGUGGGGUCCAUUCCACGGGUUCCGUGCCGUAGCUAACGCUUUAAGUACCCCGCCUGGGGAGUACGGCCGCAAGGCUAAAACUCAAAGGAAUUGACGGGGCCCCGCACAAGCGGCGGAGCAUGCGGAUUAAUUCGAUGCAACGCGUAGAACCUUACCUGGGUUUGACAUGGAUCGGGAGCGCUCAGAGAUGGGUGUGCCUCUUUUGGGGUCGGUUCACAGGUGGUGCAUGGCUGUCGUCAGCUCGUGUCGUGAGAUGUUGGGUUAAGUCCCGCAACGAGCGCAACCCUUGUUCACUGUUGCCAGCACGUUAUGGUGGGGACUCAGUGGAGACCGCCGGGGUCAACUCGGAGGAAGGUGGGGAUGACGUCAAGUCAUCAUGCCCCUUAUGUCCAGGGCUUCACGCAUGCUACAAUGGCUGGUACAGAGAGUGGCGAGCCUGUGAGGGUGAGCGAAUCUCGGAAAGCCGGUCUCAGUUCGGAUUGGGGUCUGCAACUCGACCUCAUGAAGUCGGAGUCGCUAGUAAUCGCAGAUCAGCAACGCUGCGGUGAAUACGUUCCCGGG